AUACCAGCCCCGCGAGUGGUCGGGACGCUUACAGGGCCUAAAGCGGCCGUAGCCGGCCCGACAAGUCCCCGCCUAAAUCCUCGGGCUCAACCCGAUGACGGGCGGGGAUACUGUCGGGGUAGAGGGCGGGAGAGGCCGGGGGUACUCCCGGGGUAGGGGCGAAAUCCUAUAAUCCCGGGAGGGCCACCAGUGGCGAAGGCGCCCGGCUGGAACGCGCCUGACGGUGAGGGCCGAAAGCCGGGGGAGCGAACCGGAUUAGAAACCCCAGUAGUCC
This 274-nucleotide ribosomal RNA is filed under the name uncultured bacterium. Its description in RNAcentral is "partial 16S ribosomal RNA". It matches the Rfam family "Archaeal small subunit ribosomal RNA", at positions 473 to 747 of the family's 1478-position model. The record is from RNAcentral.